AGAGUUUGAUCAUGGCUCAGGAUGAACGCUGGCGGCGUGCUUAAUACAUGCAAGUCGAACGGAGAAUUAGCAAUAGUUCUUAGUGGCGAACGGGUGAGUAACGCGUGGGUGACCUGCCCCGAAGUGCGGGAUAACAGCUCGAAAGGGCUGCUAAUACCGCAUGCUGUCUACCAGGUUAGAGGCUGGCAGACGAAAGGCGAAAGCCGCUUUGGGAGGGGCCUGCGUCCCAUCAGCUAGUUGGUAAGGUAAAGGCUUACCAAGGCGACGACGGGUAGGGGGCCUGAGAGGGUGACCCCCCACACUGGCACUGAAACACGGGCCAGACACCUACGGGUGGCAGCAGUAGGGAAUAUUGCACAAUGGGCGCAAGCCUGAUGCAGCAACGCCGCGUGCGCGAUGAAGGCCUUCGGGUCGUAAAGCGCUUUUCUGGAGGACGAGGAAGGACGGUACUCCAGGAAGAAGGCUCGGCUAACUACGUGCCAGCAGCCGCGGUAAUAC
RNAcentral lists this ribosomal RNA (498 nucleotides) under uncultured bacterium. RNAcentral describes it as "bacterial SSU rRNA". It matches the Rfam family "Bacterial small subunit ribosomal RNA", at positions 8 to 526 of the family's 1533-position model. The record is from RNAcentral.